This 792-nucleotide ribosomal RNA is filed under the name uncultured Neisseria sp. RNAcentral's name for it is "bacterial SSU rRNA". It matches the Rfam family "Bacterial small subunit ribosomal RNA", at positions 66 to 848 of the family's 1533-position model. Lineage: Bacteria; Pseudomonadati; Pseudomonadota; Betaproteobacteria; Neisseriales; Neisseriaceae. The record is from RNAcentral.
ACGGCAGCGGGGUAGUGCUUGCACUACUGCCGGCGAGUGGCGAACGGGUGAGUAACAUAUCGGAACGUACCGGGCAGUGGGGGAUAACUGAUCGAAAGAUCAGCUAAUACCGCAUAUUUUCUGAGGAAGAAAGCAGGGGACCAUUUGGCCUUGCGCUAUCCGAGCGGCCGAUAUCUGAUUAGCUUGUUGGCGGGGUAAGGGCCCACCAAGGCGACGAUCAGUAGCGGGUCUGAGAGGACGAUCCGCCACACUGGGACUGAGACACGGCCCAGACUCCUACGGGAGGCAGCAGUNGGGAAUUUUGGACAAUGGGCGCAAGCUGGAUCCAGCCAUGCCGCGUGUCUGAAGAAGGCCUUCGGGUUGUAAAGGACUUUUGUCGGGGAAGAAAAGGUCGGGGUUAAUACCCCCGGCUGAUGACGUACCCGAAGAAUAAGCACCGGCUAACUACGUGCCAGCAGCCGCGGUAAUACGUAGGGUGCGAGCGUUAAUCGGAAUUACUGGGCGUAAAGCGGGCGCAGACGGUUACUUAAGCAGGAUGUGAAAUCCCCGGGCUCAACCCGGGAAUUGCGUUCUGAACUGGGUGGCUAGAGUGUGUCAGAGGGAGGUAGAAUUCCACGUGUAGCAGUGAAAUGCGUAGAGAUGUGGAGGAAUACCGAUGGCGAAGGCAGCCUCCUGGGAUAAAACUGACGUUCAUGCCCGAAAGCGUGGGUAGCAAACAGGAUUAGAUACCCUGGUAGUCCACGCCCUAAACGAUGUCGAUUAGCUGUUGGGCAGCCUGACUGCUUGGUAGCG